GACGAACGCUGGCGGCGUGCUUAACACAUGCAAGUCGAACGGAAAGGCCCUGCUUUUGUGGGGUGCUCGAGUGGCGAACGGGUGAGUAACACGUGAGUAACCUGCCCUUGACUUUGGGAUAACUUCAGGAAACUGGGGCUAAUACCGGAUAGGAGCUCCUGCUGCAUGGUGGGGGUUGGAAAGUUUCGGCGGUUGGGGAUGGACUCGCGGCUUAUCAGCUUGUUGGUGGGGUAGUGGCUUACCAAGGCUGGGACGGGUAGCCGGCCUGAGAGGGUGACCGGCCACAUGGGGACUGAGAUGCAGCACAGACUCAUACGGGAGGCAGCAGGGGAGAAUAUUGCACAAUGGGCGGAAGCGUGAUGCAGCAACGCCGCGUGCGGGAUGACGGCCUUCGGGUUGUAAACCGCUUUCGCCUGGGACGAAGCGUGAGAGGCGGUAAGGAGUAAAGGAUCACCGGCUAAAGACG
RNAcentral lists this ribosomal RNA (466 nucleotides) under uncultured bacterium. Its description in RNAcentral is "partial 16S ribosomal RNA". It matches the Rfam family "Bacterial small subunit ribosomal RNA", at positions 28 to 505 of the family's 1533-position model. The record is from RNAcentral.